GACGAACGCUGGCGGCGCGCCUAACACAUGCAAGUCGAACGGAGAUUACAGGCGGAAGUUUUCGGAUGGAAGCUUGUAAACUUAGUAGCGGACGGGUGAGUAACACGUGAGCAACCUGCCUAUCAGAGGGGGAUAACGAUUGGAAACGAUCGCUAAUACCGCAUGACAUAGCGGAAUCGCAUGGUUCUGUUAUCAAAGAUUUUAUCGCUGAUAGAUGGGCUCGCGUCCGAUUAGAUAGUUGGUGGGGUAACGGCCUACCAAGUCGACGAUCGGUAGCCGGACUGAGAGGUCGAACGGCCACAUUGGGACUGAGACACGGCCCAGACUCCUACGGGAGGCAGCAGUGGGGGAUAUUGCACAAUGGGGGAAACCCUGAUGCAGCGACGCCGCGUGAGGGAAGACGGUCCUCUGGAUUGUAAACCUCUGUCUUCGGGGACGAAACGAGACGGUACCCGAGGAGGAAGCCACGGCUAACUACGUGCCAGCCGCCGCCGUAA
RNAcentral lists this ribosomal RNA (497 nucleotides) under uncultured bacterium. RNAcentral describes it as "partial 16S ribosomal RNA". It matches the Rfam family "Bacterial small subunit ribosomal RNA", at positions 28 to 523 of the family's 1533-position model. The record is from RNAcentral.